Molecule: ribosomal RNA, 468 nt
Filed under: uncultured bacterium
Lineage: Bacteria
Description: partial 16S ribosomal RNA
Rfam family: Bacterial small subunit ribosomal RNA
Source: RNAcentral
GACGAACGCUGGCGGCGUGCUUAACACAUGCAAGUCGAACGGAAAGGCCCUGCUUUUGUGGGUUGCUCGAGUGGCGAACGGGUGAGUAACACGCGAGUAACCUGCCCUUGACUUUGGGAUAACUUCAGGAAACUGGGGCUAAUACCGGAUAGGAGCUCCUGCUGCACGGUGGGGGUUGGAAAGUUUCGGCGGUUGGGGAUGGACUCGCGGCUUAGCAGCUUGUUGGUGGGGUAGUGGCUUACCAAGGCUUUGACGGGUAGCCGGCCUGAGAGGGUGACCGGCCACAUUGGGACUGAGAGACGGCGCAGACUCCUACGGGCGGCAGCGGUGGGAAAUCUGGCGCAAUGGGCGGAAGCCUGAUGCAGCGACGCCGGGUGCGGAAUGACGGCCUUCGGGUUGUAAACCGCUUUCGCCUGUAACGAAGCGUGAGUGACGGUAAUGGGUAAGAAAGCACCGGCUAACUACGUG